AUUGAACGCUGGCGGCAUGCUUUACACAUGCAAGUCGAACGGCAGCGGGGUAGUGCUUGCACUACUGCCGGCGAGUGGCGAACGGGUGAGUAAUAUAUCGGAACGUACCGAGUAAUGGGGGAUAACCAAUCGAAAGAUUGGCUAAUACCGCAUACGUCCUGAGGGAGAAAGCGGGGGAUCGCAAGACCUCGCGUUAUUCGAGCGGCCGAUAACUGAUUAGCUAGUUGGUGGGGUAAAGGCCUACCAAGGCGACGAUCAGUAGCGGUUCUGAGAGGACGAUCCGCCACACUGGGACUGAGACACGGCCCAGACUCCUACGGGAGGCAGCAGUGGGGAAUUUUGGACAAUGGGGGCAACCCUGAUCCAGCCAUGCCGCGUGUAUGAAGAAGGCCUUCGGGUUGUAAAGUACUUUUGUUAGGGAAGAAAAGGGAAGUGCUAAUACCACUUUUUGCUGACGGUACCUAAAGAAUAAGCACCGGCUAACUACGUG
This 490-nucleotide ribosomal RNA is filed under the name uncultured bacterium. RNAcentral describes it as "partial 16S ribosomal RNA". It matches the Rfam family "Bacterial small subunit ribosomal RNA", at positions 30 to 507 of the family's 1533-position model. The record is from RNAcentral.